GACGAACGCUGGCGGCGUGCUUAACACAUGCAAGUCGAACGAUGAUGCUGGAGCUUGCUCCAGUUGAUUAGUGGCGAACGGGUGAGUAACACGUGAGCAAUCCGCCCUUGACUCUGGGAUAACUGCGGGAAACUGUAGCUAAUACCGGAUACUUUCACCGGGGGGCAUCCUCUGGUGAUGAAAGAAUUUCGGUCAAGGAUGAGCUCGCGGCCUAUCAGCUUGUUGGUGAGGUAACGGCUCGCCAAGGCGACGACGGGUAACCGGCCUGAGAGGGUGACCGGUCACACUGGGACUGAGACACGGCCCAGACUCCUACGGGAGGCAGCAGUGGGGAAUAUUGCACAAUGGGCGCAAGCCUGAUGCAGCAACGCCGCGUGAGGGAUGAAGGCCUUCGGGUUGUAAACCUCUUUUAGCAGGGAAGAAGCGAAAGUGACGGUACCUGCAGAAAAAGCACCGGCUAACUACGUGCCAGCCGCCGCCGUAA
This 484-nucleotide ribosomal RNA is filed under the name uncultured bacterium. Its description in RNAcentral is "partial 16S ribosomal RNA". It matches the Rfam family "Bacterial small subunit ribosomal RNA", at positions 28 to 523 of the family's 1533-position model. The record is from RNAcentral.